UUUGAAUCAAUCGGGUUUCAAAAGAACGCGGUGAACCAAAUAUUAAACCCCAUUGAUCGUUGUGAAGCUAAUUACAAAUCAUUCAAUGAAUUACAAGGUCUAACAUGGGAGGAAGUUCUGAAUAAGGGAACAAGGCAUUUCAGUGAGGAGUUCAGUAAGUAUUGUGACAGGAAAAUGAAUGAAAUUGUAGCUAUGUAAUAUGUUGGGUUGGUUUUUGGUUUUUUUCACUAGAUCUUACAGAAGUGAAACUAACAUGCUAAAGCUGCCCAUCGAUUGAUCCAAGCCCAAACGUGCUGCUAAUUUCUACUGAAACUGAGCUGAGACAAUAACUACAUCAUAAUCUAACACUAUGCUCCAGCACUAGCAAUUUUCAUUGGAUUUAAGGGAAUCUAAACUCUAUACGCAGUACACUGCAACAAAAAGUAACUUCAACAAGACAGAUGUGUAUAAAACAAGGCUAUUCAAUAGAAUAGGUUACCACAAAAGAGAUUAACAGGCAAUGAUUAAAACAAAAACUUACUCAUACUUUAACAACUAAUGAUGUAGUUUAACCAAAAUAAAUUGGGAGUAAAAAAGUACAUGGAUACAGCCAUGGGUUACGUCAAAACUCAAAACAGCACACCAUAUUCCUUUGUUUCAAACAAAAGGGCCGGUCAGGUCUUUUAUGCAACUAAUUUGAUUAAUCUAGUCUUAAACUUUUUAAAACCUCAUGUUAAAGGUGAAUGCAUGAUUCAAUUUCUAGAAAUGUUGAAUCUUUCGUCGUAAAAAAACAUAAAAGGGAAAACAUGUUGAAAGAAUGUUAGGGCAGACAAUGUUUACCUUGAUUGAAUUGGAAAGAUUUUCUUGAGGGUUUAUUUGGAGAUACUUGGGAUUGAUCUCUAAUGAUGUCAAGAGACUUCCCUACUCACAGCAUUUGAAGAACACAAGUCUGUUUUUGGUCGACAAAACAGUGCUCUGAAAGAAAUGAAAUCGGGCAAGAAAUGAAAUGAAAACAGUGCUCUGAGAGUUCUAAAAAGGUGCAAGAAAUGAAACAGGAAGAGGCUGAAAGUGAAACAGGAAUAGAAAUCGGGAGAGAAAGUGAUGUUGGGAGGGAGAGGCUGGAGAUGGCUCUUGUAUUGGGAGGGUAAAACAGGGCAAAUCACAAUCUGGGAGGGUUAAACAGAGCUAAACUGACCUUUUGCUUGGGAAUGGAAAUGGGUCAUUAAGCAGGAAUAGACAUGAAAAGAAAAGAAACAGAGGGAGCAAAUCGGCAUAGGCUAGAAGGAACAGAAGAGAAACAAAGGGGAAGCCGAUGGGAGGGUAAAACAGAGAGGGUAAACUGAAGUGGAGCCUAAUCUGGGCAAAAGGGACGGAUUACAAAUCGGUGAUUUUACUGAUUAGGUCAGUAAUGUAUUACAAUGGUAUUAUUUCUUAAACUUUUACUUACCCAUUUAAC
Molecule: long non-coding RNA, 1435 nt
Filed under: Gossypium barbadense (sea-island cotton)
Lineage: Eukaryota; Viridiplantae; Streptophyta; Magnoliopsida; Malvales; Malvaceae
Description: long non-coding RNA (GBAR_LNC022217)
Source: RNAcentral